Molecule: ribosomal RNA, 528 nt
Filed under: uncultured bacterium
Lineage: Bacteria
Description: bacterial SSU rRNA
Rfam family: Bacterial small subunit ribosomal RNA
Source: RNAcentral
AAUAGAUACCCGGGUAGUCCACGCCGUAAACGAUGAGUGCUAAGUGUUAGAGGGUUUCCGCCCUUUAGUGCUGCAGCUAACGCAUUAAGCACUCCGCCUGGGGAGUACGGCCGCAAGGCUGAAACUCAAAGGAAUUGACGGGGGCCCGCACAAGCGGUGGAGCAUGUGGUUUAAUUCGAAGCAACGCGAAGAACCUUACCAGGUCUUGACAUCCUCUGCCAACCCUAGAGAUAGGGCGUUCCCCUUCGGGGGACAGAGUGACAGGUGGUGCAUGGUUGUCGUCAGCUCGUGUCGUGAGAUGUUGGGUUAAGUCCCGCAACGAGCGCAACCCUUGAUCUUAGUUGCCAGCAUUCAGUUGGGCACUCUAAGGUGACUGCCGGUGACAAACCGGAGGAAGGUGGGGAUGACGUCAAAUCAUCAUGCCCCUUAUGACCUGGGCUACACACGUGCUACAAUGGAUGGUACAAGAGCUGCGAACCCGCGAGGGUAAGCGAAUCUCAUAAAGCCAUUCUCAGUUCGGAUUGUAGG